UAGGUGGCAGCAGCAGGGAUACAG
This 24-nucleotide unclassified non-coding RNA is filed under the name Mus musculus (house mouse). Its description in RNAcentral is "oocyte_clustered_small_RNA4932". Lineage: Eukaryota; Metazoa; Chordata; Mammalia; Rodentia; Muridae. The record is from RNAcentral.